GACGAACGCUGGCGGCGUGCUUAACACAUGCAAGUCGAACGAUGACGACCGAGCUUGCUCGGUCUGAUUAGUGGCGAACGGGUGAGUAACACGUGAGCAACCUGCCCUUCACUCUGGGAUAACCUCGGGAAAUCGGGGCUAAUACCGGAUAUGAGCUCCUGUCGCAUGGCGGGUGUUGGAAAGUUUUUCGGUGAAGGAUGGGCUCGCGGCCUAUCAGUUUGUUGGUGAGGUAGUGGCUCACCAAGGCGAUGACGGGUAGCCGGCCUGAGAGGGCGACCGGCCACACUGGGACUGAGACACGGCCCAGACUCCUACGGGAGGCAGCAGUGGGGAAUAUUGCACAAUGGGCGAAAGCCUGAUGCAGCGACGCCGCGUGAGGGAUGACGGCCUUCGGGUUGUAAACCUCUUUCAGCAGGGAAGAAGCGAAAGUGACGGUACCUGCAGAGGAAGCGCCGGCUAACUACGUG
Molecule: ribosomal RNA, 467 nt
Filed under: uncultured bacterium
Lineage: Bacteria
Description: partial 16S ribosomal RNA
Rfam family: Bacterial small subunit ribosomal RNA
Source: RNAcentral